AGUGGCGAACGGGUGAGUAUCACGUGAGAAACCAACCCCGGUCUUUGGGAUAACAGUUGGAAACGACUGCUAAUACCGAAUGCCGUCGUUGCCUCGCAUGGGGCGAUGACGAAAGGGCUACCGGAUCGGGACGGUCUCGCGGCCUGUCAGCUUGUUGGGGAGGUAACGGCUCACCAAGGCUUCGACGGGUAGCUGGUCUGAGAGGAUGAUCAGCCACACUGGGACUGAGACACGGCCCAGACUCCUACGGGAGGCAGCAGUGGGGAAUCUUGCGCAAUGGGCGAAAGCCUGACGCAGCAACGCCGCGUGCGGGAUGAAGGCCUUCGGGUUGUAAACCGCUUUUACCAGGAACGAAAAUGACGGUACCUGGAGAAUAAGGUGCGGCCAACUACGUGCCAGCAGCCGCGGUGACACGUAGGCACCAAGCGUUGUCCGGAUUUAUUGGGCGUAAAGAGCUCGUAGGCGGUUCAGUAAGUCGGGUGUGAAAACUCUGGGCUUAACCCAGAGACGCCACUCGAUACUACUGUGACUAGAGUUCGGUAGGGGAGCAGGGAAUUCCUGGUGUAGCGGUGAAAUGCGCAGAUAUCAGGAGGAACACCGAUGGCGAAGGCACUGCUCUGGGCCGAAACUGACGCUGAGGAGCGAAAGCGUGGGUAGCAAACAGGAUUAGAUACCCUGGUAGUCCACGCCGUAAACGGUG
Molecule: ribosomal RNA, 700 nt
Filed under: uncultured bacterium
Lineage: Bacteria
Description: bacterial SSU rRNA
Rfam family: Bacterial small subunit ribosomal RNA
Source: RNAcentral